RNAcentral lists this ribosomal RNA (460 nucleotides) under uncultured bacterium. Its description in RNAcentral is "partial 16S ribosomal RNA". It matches the Rfam family "Bacterial small subunit ribosomal RNA", at positions 338 to 795 of the family's 1533-position model. The record is from RNAcentral.
CCUACGGGAGGCAGCCGUGAGGAAUAUUGGUCAAUGGACGAGAGUCUGAACCAGCCAAGUAGCGUAAAGGAUGACUGCCCUAUGGGUUGUAAACUUCUUUUAUCUGGGAAUAAAACGUUCCACGUGUGGGAUUUUGUAUGUACCAUAUGCAUAAGGAUCGGCUAACUCCGUGCCAGCAGCCGCGGUAAUACGGAGGAUCCGAGCUUUAUCCGGCUUUAUUGGGUUUAAAGGGAGCGUAGUGGGAUUGUUAAGUCAGUUGUGAAAGUUUGCGGCUCAACCGUAAAAUUGCAGUUGAUCCUGGCAGUCUUGAGUACAGUAGAGGUGGGCGGAAUUCGUGGUGUAGCGGUGAAAUGCUUAGAUAUCACGAAGAACUCCGAUUGCGAAGGCAGUUCACUGGACUGCAACUGACACUGAGGCUCGAAAGUGUGGGUAUCAAACAGGAUUAGAUACCCCAGUAGUC